GAUUGUUGUUGUUAAGGUUGUUGUUGUUGUUAAGGUUAAGGUUGUGGUUGUAGGCUUGGUUUUGUUGGGUUUGGAAUUCAGCUAAGGUGCGCUUUCCGAUGAUGCGAUGUUGAGGGAUCUGUGAGGAAGGAUCUAGAAAAAUUGGAGGAAGUGGUUGAUGUUGGUGGUGGUGUUGGGGAUGGUGUUGGGUUCGGUAAAGAGAGGGAUGAUUGAGGUUGUUGAUGGUGAGGGAAGGGGUUGUUGUGAUAAGGUUGUUGAUGGUGUUUGUUGGUCUACCGGUGAGAUACUCCGACGAUCCACCACCACCGGAAUUAAAACCAGAUGAUGACAUUCUUUUUUCUCUCCGGUGAUGUAGAAUCAGCGAAGAAAAUAAGGGAAAAGAAACAGUGUUAAAAGGUUGUGUUUUCGGAGAAACGCAUGAGACACAUUAGAGAAUGAGAGAGAGGAGGUGAUGGUGGGUCUUUAUGGGUUGAAUUGAUUCGGGUGAAUAUAAAGAAGGAAAGCUAUGAUUUUUUU
This 516-nucleotide long non-coding RNA is filed under the name Lathyrus oleraceus (garden pea). RNAcentral describes it as "Pisum sativum (pea) long non-coding RNA (PSAT_LNC041831)". The record is from RNAcentral. Lineage: Eukaryota; Viridiplantae; Streptophyta; Magnoliopsida; Fabales; Fabaceae.